This 253-nucleotide ribosomal RNA is filed under the name uncultured bacterium. Its description in RNAcentral is "partial 16S ribosomal RNA". It matches the Rfam family "Bacterial small subunit ribosomal RNA", at positions 524 to 776 of the family's 1533-position model. The record is from RNAcentral.
UACGUAGGGUGCGAGCGUUAAUCGGAAUUACUGGGCGUAAAGCGUGCGCAGGCGGCCGAGCAAGUCGAGUGUGAAAGCCCCGAGCUUAACUUGGGAACUGCGCUCGAAACUACUUGGCUAGAGUGUGGCAGAGGGAGGUGGAAUUCCACGUGUAGCGGUGAAAUGCGUAGAUAUGCGGAGGAACACCGAUGGCGAAGGCAAUCCCCUGGGCCUGCACUGACGCUCAUGCACGAAAGCGUGGGGAGCAAACAGG